Non-coding RNA from Mycena latifolia, 88 nucleotides. NCBI's taxonomy places the organism in Eukaryota, Fungi, Basidiomycota, Agaricomycetes, Agaricales, Mycenaceae. The record is from the annotation of a GenBank genome assembly.
GGCUCGGUGGUGGAUGGUCCAUACCUGUUUCUUGUAGUAAAUUGGCAUAUGCCAGUAGGAGGAGCCUGUUCGAAUCAGGCCCGAGCCA